This 468-nucleotide ribosomal RNA is filed under the name uncultured bacterium. Its description in RNAcentral is "partial 16S ribosomal RNA". It matches the Rfam family "Bacterial small subunit ribosomal RNA", at positions 28 to 507 of the family's 1533-position model. The record is from RNAcentral.
GAUGAACGCUGGCGGCAGGCCUAACACAUGCAAGUCGAACGGAAAGGCGCUGAUUUUGUGGGGUGCUCGGGUGGCGAUCGGGUGAGUAACACGUGAGUAUCCUGCCCUUGCCUUUGGGAUGACUACAGCAAACUGGGGGUAAUACCAGAUCGGAGCUACUGCUGCAUGAUGGGGGUUGGCAUGUUGCGGCGUUUGGGGAUGGACUUGCGGCUUGUGUGACAGUUGGUGGGGGAUUGGCUGACCACGGCUUUGGAGGGCAGUCGGCCCGAGAGGGUGACCGGGCACAGGGCCACUGAGAUACGGGCCAGAGGCGUACGGGAGACAGCAGUGGGGAAUAUUGCACAAUGCGCGCAAGCCUAAUGCAGCAACGCCGCGUGCGGGAUGACAGCCUGCUGGUUGGAAAGCGCUUACGCCUGUGACGAAGCCUGAGUGACGGUACCGGGAAAAGAAGCACCGGCUAACUACGUG